AAAUAACCAUCUUCUCCAUAUCGAGGCCUUUAGCAUUUGGCAGUAGAAAACUUUAACCCCAUUUCCCAUUUCCCCUAUCUCGGCCCCUUUUCUCUUCUCAAUACCUAGAUUCACUAUUCGAAAUCGAUUUUCCUCCUACGCCACGGAAUUAAUUCUUGACGAAGUAUCUCUUAUGAAUCUUCGAAACGGUAAACCCAGUUUUCAGAUUAGGAUUUUAUUUUUUUUCUGAUAAAAGAACUGGAUAUGAAUAUUUCUUGAAUCAUCAAAUUGUAGUUUGUUUCCUUUCACCCAUAGUCAGGCAGAAGGAAUGGAUGAUUUCGAUUUCGAUUCGGUGGAAAGAAGAAAGAUUAAAGCCGGUAAAACCUCUUUCUCUCCCUCUCUCUUACAAGUCGCACACAAUUAUUUUUUGGCCUUAUUUAUGUGUUUUUCCAAAAGAUAGAAUAAAUUGGAAUAAUCGGAUUGAGAUCCAACAAUUUAUCGGGGUGCGAGUGCAAUCAAGUUAUUUUAUUAGCUUUCCGGUGAAUAAAUAAUUAUGAGGGCAAAUUUGGAAUGUUUGAUAUGUAGUGAUGAGUCUUUUUAUAUAUUGAUUGUUAUAUGGAUUUUGCCAGGGUAGAAAGAUAGUAAAUGAGUCUUGUGUAUGUAUAUUUAUAGUUAAUAGGUGAAAUGUGCUUGUUGUAUUUUUAUCAUCUAAAGAAGAUGAGGAUUUGGACAACAUGAAAUGUGUUCCUAUGCUUAGUUUUAUCACUUUUCCUUGCGAAAUUACGUGUUAUCAAAUUAUAUGUAUAACUUCUGAUGAUUUGAUUUUAUAUGAUAGGUUCCUUAAGGCAAAAGAGACAUUAAUAUUUUGAUAUCAAUUUGGAAAUGCUGCAAAUUUUGGGCCUGCUUGCACAAGUCGUAAACUAAUUUCUCAAGGAAAUUGUAAUUUAUAUAUAUAUUUAUAAAUUAUACGUUAAAGUAUGGUUUGUUUCAUUCAUGUUAUAACUCUAAUUUCAGGUUGAAGUAUGGUUUGUUUCAUUUAUCGUAAUUUAUUCUACUUUCGAGUUGAAGCAAGGUUUAGUUCCUUUAUUCGAACAAGAAUAUCGUGACUGAAUCCGUCCAAGAUAGUGUUGAUUGCUCCAAGAAUCUACACAUUCAAGCACUACAGGUAACAUUUUAUAGACUUUAUCUAUGUAGGUCUGAAUUUAUGUUUGAUAUAUAUAUAUUGCCAUUUUUAUGUGCUUUUAAUCGAAGAGCCUGUUACACAGCCUUAGUCCGUACAUCUUGUAAGUUGUUCAAUUUAUGUACUUUUAAUCUAAGGUUCUAAUAAUGUUUUCGAUUACAAAAGUGCAGUAGUCAUUUUUUAUUUUAAUUUCGCAGUAACGGAAAGAAAGGAAGUGUCUUGUAAGAUAGUAAGAUUAUAUGUUCUACAACAUGUUAGAUUUUUUUUCAAUCUUUCAGUGGAUUCAUAACUUCUUCUACUCCUUACAUUACUCUUCGAUCACUAAUCACAUUUAUCUCGCGACCAGGUUAUCAAAAACGCUGCUAAGUUUUUAUCAAGUGAGAGAUGGAAGGACGUCACACAACAAGUAACAUGACAUCCCGUUGAAAAACCAGCCAGUCGAAUCAAAUGUAACAGUUUAAUUGGACUAUUAAAAAGGUUUCUUCUUUUAUAUUUUAGAUUAGAUGUGGAAUACUUUUUAUUCAAAUAAUUCUGUUAUUUUGAACAAUUCAAAUAAAUAAGAUUCAGCAAGGAGCACAUUUUGGUGUAUAUGUAUGUAAUUUGUUUUUUUU
RNAcentral lists this long non-coding RNA (1770 nucleotides) under Erythranthe guttata (spotted monkey flower). Its description in RNAcentral is "long non-coding RNA (EGUT_LNC002972)". Lineage: Eukaryota; Viridiplantae; Streptophyta; Magnoliopsida; Lamiales; Phrymaceae. The record is from RNAcentral.